GGGAAAUAGCCCAUAUGAGGCAUGUGGCUCAUUUUAUUGCUAUCAGAUGUCCCCGCCUGGCAGGACAGACAUCUGUACGUGGUGCUACAAGAGAAGAAUUGGGGAGGCAGGCCACCUUCAGGCGGAGAAGUAGCACCCCUGGGAGACAGCCUGAGAGCAAGAACAUUCCAAUGCUUGUUUCUCUGGCCAGUUUCCCAGUCCUCUCUCCCUGACGGGUCUCUGGAUCUUCAUUGCCUCUCCCUUCUCACAGUACUGCGGUCCCCAACUUGGUGUCCACCCAGCAGCCACUCUGUUCUCAGUAAUGAACUUCUGAGGCGGCAGGAACAACCAGCCUGGCUUAUUAGGCACACAGACCUGUCCGUACCUGCGACAUGCAAGGUGCCCUGAGAAAUGCAACAGAGCAAAAAGCUUGCCAUCUGCUUUCCUCGACUGCUAGUAAACUGGCUUCAGUUAGGUUUUAUCUUUCUUGGAGAAAACUCUAGAAAGUUCAGGAAGAUCCUGCACUUUCUCUGUGAGCCCCUCCUGCAUCUGCUGGGCUCACCAUGUGUGUAACAGUCAAUUUCAUACCCAACACGCCCGCCCUCUCCCAGCAUGCCGGCGCUCCUUCCCCAGCUCCGUGUGCGGCCAGUUCCCGACCCCUGCGCAGGAGAGAACCGUCAUGGUGGAUUUUGUUUUUUUCCUUUUAGCACCCUGCUGAUUCUAUUGGCAAAUAUUUUGUUAAGA
Long non-coding RNA from Mustela erminea (ermine), 723 nucleotides. RefSeq lists it as uncharacterized. Lineage: Eukaryota; Metazoa; Chordata; Mammalia; Carnivora; Mustelidae. The transcript has 3 exons. The record is from RefSeq and is a predicted model, not a curated record.